AAAUCAUGAUGAGGAUAUCUUAAAAGCUUUCCAAACCACUCCCAUGCCUCAAACAAGGAUUAUGCUUCGUAUUGUUGGAAGCAACAUAUCUCCAUCAUGAGUUU
This is a small nucleolar RNA of Abrus precatorius (Indian licorice), 104 nucleotides long. The record is from RefSeq and is a predicted model, not a curated record. Lineage: Eukaryota; Viridiplantae; Streptophyta; Magnoliopsida; Fabales; Fabaceae.